This 537-nucleotide ribosomal RNA is filed under the name uncultured bacterium. Its description in RNAcentral is "partial 16S ribosomal RNA". It matches the Rfam family "Bacterial small subunit ribosomal RNA", at positions 355 to 881 of the family's 1533-position model. The record is from RNAcentral.
UAGGGAAUCUUCGGCAAUGGGGGCAACCCUGACCGAGCAACGCCGCGUGAGUGAAGAAGGUUUUCGGAUCGUAAAGCUCUGUUGUAAGUCAAGAACGGGUGUGAGAGUGGAAAGUUCACACUGUGACGGUAGCUUACCAGAAAGGGACGGCUAACUACGUGCCAGCAGCCGCGGUAAUACGUAGGUCCCGAGCGUUGUCCGGAUUUAUUGGGCGUAAAAGCGAGCGCAGGCGGUUUGAUAAGUCUGAAGUUAAAGGCUGUGGCUCAACCAUAGUUCGCUUUGGAAACUGUCAAACUUGAGUGCAGAAGGGGAGAGUGGAAUUCCAUGUGUAGCGGUGAAAUGCGUAGAUAUAUGGAGGAACACCGGUGGCGAAAGCGGCUCUCUGGUCUGUAACUGACGCUGAGGCUCGAAAGCGUGGGGAGCGAACAGGAUUAGAUACCCUGGUAGUCCACGCCGUAAACGAUGAGUGCUAAGUGUUGGGAGGCUUCCGCCUCUCAGUGCUGCAGCUAACGCAUUAAGCACUCCGCCUGGGGGAGU